This is a non-coding RNA of Dipodomys ordii (Ord's kangaroo rat), 65 nucleotides long. Lineage: Eukaryota; Metazoa; Chordata; Mammalia; Rodentia; Heteromyidae. The record is from Rfam.
GGUGGCUCAGUGGUAGAGUGCUUGCCUUGCAUGCAUGAGGCCCUGGGUCCAAUUCCUUAGCACCA